GAUGAAGAACGUAGCGAAAUGCGAUAAGUAAUGCGAAUUGCAGAAUUCAGUGAGUCAUCGAAUCUUUGAACGCACAUUGCGCCCUGUGGUAUUCCGCAGGGCAUGCCUGUUCGAGCGUCAUUUCAACCCUCAAGCCCCGCUUGGUGUUGGGCCCCGCCCGCCGUGGCCGGCCCUAAAGACAGUGGCGGCGCCGCCUGGCCCUCAGCGUAGUACAGCUCUCGCUCCAGGGUCCGGCGGCCGCCUGCCAGAACCCCCCCAACUCUGUGGUUGACCUCGGAUCAGGUAGGGAUACCCGCUGAACUUAAGCAUAUCAAUAAGCGGAGGA
This 325-nucleotide unclassified non-coding RNA is filed under the name soil metagenome. RNAcentral describes it as "partial contains 5.8S ribosomal RNA, internal transcribed spacer 2, and large subunit ribosomal RNA". The stretch from base 1 to 120 matches the Rfam family "5.8S ribosomal RNA", at positions 35 to 154 of the family's 154-position model. The record is from RNAcentral.